GAGUUUGAUCGUGGCUCAGAUUGAACGCUGGCGGCAUGCCUUACACAUGCAAGUCGAACGGCAGCACGGGAGCUUGCUCCUGGUGGCGAGUGGCGAACGGGUGAGUAAUGCAUCGGAACGUAUCCUGGAGUGGGGGAUAACGUAGCGAAAGUUACGCUAAUACCGCAUAUUCUGUGAGCAGGAAAGCGGGGGACCUUCGGGCCUCGCGCUCUUGGAGCGGCCGAUGUCGGAUUAGCUAGUUGGUGAGGUAAAGGCUCACCAAGGCGACGAUCCGUAGCAGGUCUGAGAGGAUGAUCUGCCACACUGGAACUGAGACACGGUCCAGGCUCCUACGGGAGGCAGCAGUGGGGAAUUUUGGACAAUGGGGGCAACCCUGAUCCAGCCAUGCCGCGUGAGUGAAGAAGGCC
This 407-nucleotide ribosomal RNA is filed under the name bacterium enrichment culture clone ALO1_GLFRUDD03HIF8L. RNAcentral describes it as "bacterial SSU rRNA". It matches the Rfam family "Bacterial small subunit ribosomal RNA", at positions 9 to 416 of the family's 1533-position model. The record is from RNAcentral.